AUGCAAGAUACACACCCUGUGGCAUAUUUGAGUAAGGCUCUCUCCCCAUGAAACCUUGGCCUCUCGGCGUAUGAAAAGGAAUGCUUGGCGCUACUGCUGGCCAUAGACCAUUAAUGACCAUAUCUUCAACAUUCAGAGUUCCUGAUCUGAACCGACCAGAAAAGCCUACUCAACCUUACUGAUCAGCGCCUGAACACCCCGAUUCAACAAUGAGCAUUUACUAAACUGGUUGGACUCCAAUUCCGCAUUCAAUACAAA
Molecule: ribosomal RNA, 258 nt
Filed under: Triticum aestivum (bread wheat)
Lineage: Eukaryota; Viridiplantae; Streptophyta; Magnoliopsida; Poales; Poaceae
Description: partial small subunit ribosomal RNA
Source: RNAcentral